GGGCGAUUAGCUCAGCGGGAGAGCGCUUCCCUGACACGGAAGAGGUCACUGGUUCAAUCCCAGUAUCGCCCAC
RNAcentral lists this transfer RNA (73 nucleotides) under Catenulispora yoronensis. RNAcentral describes it as "tRNA-Val". It matches the Rfam family "tRNA". From Rfam's summary of the family: Transfer RNA (tRNA) molecules are approximately 80 nucleotides in length. Their secondary structure includes four short double-helical elements and three loops (D, anti-codon, and T loops). The record is from RNAcentral. RNAcentral also lists the same sequence under 2 other names. Lineage: Bacteria; Bacillati; Actinomycetota; Actinomycetes; Catenulisporales; Catenulisporaceae.